Molecule: small RNA, 132 nt
Filed under: Drosophila willistoni
Lineage: Eukaryota; Metazoa; Arthropoda; Insecta; Diptera; Drosophilidae
Description: GK10928
Source: RNAcentral
CAAAUGGGCAAAAAACAUUGGAGCUUUUAUUAAUCUCGAAUCGGUUGGAUCUGGAGGAAAAGAGAUGUUAUUUCAAAGUAGUGUCAAUAAUUCGUGGCUUGUUACCAUGUACGGCAAGUCAGUACCACAUCC